RNAcentral lists this ribosomal RNA (468 nucleotides) under uncultured bacterium. Its description in RNAcentral is "partial 16S ribosomal RNA". It matches the Rfam family "Bacterial small subunit ribosomal RNA", at positions 28 to 507 of the family's 1533-position model. The record is from RNAcentral.
GACGAACGCUGGCGGCGUGCUUAACACAUGCAAGUCGAACGGAAAGGCCCUGCUUUUGUGGGGUGCUCGAGUGGCGAACGGGUGAGUAACACGUGGGUAACCUGCCCUUGACUUUGGGAUAACUUCAGGAAACUGGGGCUAAUACCGGAUAGGAGCUCCUGCUGCAUGGUGGGGGUUGGAAAGUUUCGGCGGUUGGGGAUGGACUCGCGGCUUAUCAGCUUGUUGGUGGGGUAGUGGCUUACCAAGGCUUUGACGGGUAGCCGGCCUGAGAGGGUGACCGGCCACAUUGGGACUGAGAUACGGCCCAGACUCCUACGGGAGGCAGCAGUGGGGAAUAUUGCACAAUGGGCGGAAGCCUGAUGCAGCAACGCCGCGUGCGGGAUGACGGCCUUCGGGUUGUAAACCGCUUUCGCCUGUGACGAAGCGUGAGUGGCGGUAAUGGGUAAAGAAGCACCGGCUAACUACGUG